AUCUUUUUAUUUAUUAUAUUUUAUUAUUUUCUUGUAUUAUUUUUAGUUAUUUUCUGUUAUUACAGUAUUUUAUUGUAUUAAUUUUUUAGUGUUUUUAAUUAUUUUUAGUGUUUUUUAUUAUUUUUUAUUGGGUUGCUAGGAGACCAAGUUGGAGGAGCUUAGCCUUCUAACUGGCAGCAAUUGGAUAAAAGCAAUUAUUCCUCUCCCUCUAAUUAGGACUUUAUUUUUCUUUUCUUUUUGUUGUAUCAACCUAGAGGCGUGGAUGAUGGGUUGUGUUGUCAAAUUUCGAGGUUGGGGGGGCUGUAGUUUUGUUGUUUUGUGGGUCGCCGUGAUGCCAUCACUCUUAUAUAUAUAGAUAUAUAGCGAGGAACUGAGUUAUGAAGAAAUCAUUUAUAUCUAUAUAUGUUGUUGUGUUAGGAAGAAACUCAAUUGUAGUGUAUUUGGACAAUUUUGUAAGUGUUUUAAGGGAUUCAAACUGAAUUUGUAGGUUGUGAAUUUAAAAUGAUAAAGGUGGGAAAUAAUAACAAGAACAAGUCAAUUAAAUAGUAGGCAUUCAACACCAACCACAGCGGCUCACUAUCAGCUUGUCAUUCAAAUACAUCAAACCAAACAUAUACCGUAUAUACUCGAAUAUAAGCCGACCCAAAUAUAAGCCGAGGCACCUAAUUUUACCACAAAAAACUGGGAAAACUUAUUGACUCGAGUAUAAGCCGAGGGUGGGAAAUGCAGCAGUUAAGGGUAAAUUUCAAAAUAAAAAUAGAUACCAAUAAAAUUACAUUAACUGAGGCAUAAGUGGGGUAAAUGUUUUUUGAAUAUUUACCGUAUUUCAAAGAAAAACAGUAAGCUAACUCUGUAAGUGCAUAAGUAGGGUCAACAAAAACAAUAUGGUAUCAACAAUAACCUAAUAAUAACAAUAAUACUAAUAAAAACUUCAUUUGGAUCCCACCCUGUCUCCCCAUGGGGACUCAGGCCGGCUUCCAACAUAGUAACAGGCAAACAUUCAAUGCUUAUAUAAACAAUGCAGAGCUAGAUAUAGAUCUAUAAUUAUAUAUACUGAUUUCACAUUUGCAUUUCCACCCUGAAAAGUUUGCAAAUCCUCUGUGCAUUUCCCUCCUGUAAUAUUUGCAAGUCCCAUUUAUCUAUGUUUACAUCUAUCUAGACAUCUCUCUGUAUGUGUGCAUAUUUAAAAGGCCUAUAUCUAUAUUAAUAUCUAUUUGACAUUGCUCUAUAUAGAGAGAAUUAUAUCUUACUAGCUUUGCCCGGCCACGCGAUGCUGUGGCUUAUGGGAAUUAUUUGUUGACCAGGUGGAAUAGGAGUGAAUAGCCUUGCAGCGUGAAAGUCUGGCCGUUUUGUGGAGUGGUUGGAGUCGUAGCAUUAAUCAAAGAGGCGCUUUGAAGUGUGGGUACUUCCUUAGUUGGGGAAUUCUUGUUUGGCCAGAUUGAAUGGUAUUGAAUAGGUUUGUAGGUUAAAAGCCUGGUUGGUUUGCACAUAAGGUCUUGUUGCUAGGCGAGAUUGAAUAGGACAGAGUAGUGUUGUGGUUUCAAAGUUUGGGGGUUUUGUAUGUAGGGGAAAUGUUGGUUGGCCUGGUUGAAAAGUAUUGAAUAGCCUUGAUGGUUGUAAGCCUGGUCGGUUCUUACCUUGCGGAAUCCUUGGUUGGUCAGUUUGAAUAGGAAUUAAUAGUGUCGGUGUGGGAGGUUUGAAUGGUGGAAUUAGCCACCUUGGUUAGUUUUUAAUGGCCUUGCAGGUUGAAAUGGUGUUUGUUUACUGUCUGGAGGAAUGUUUUGUUGGGAAGUGUUAGCUGGCCCUGAUUGUUUCGUUUGUAGAAUUCCCAAUUUCCCUGCUUUCCGAGUGUUGGUCUUUAUUUCGUCUCCUGGUUUUAGAGAUCAUAUUGUUUUCUAUUAUUAUACCAUAGUAAGUCUUAUAUUUAUAAUGUUAUAUUAGGUGGUGAGAAUUGUAUUAUAUGAGGUCAGUUGUACAUAGUUGUAUAAAAUGUAGACUGAACUGGAUUAGAUGGCAGUGUAGAGUGAAGGCGAUGUCAUAGAGGAAUAUUAUUUAGAAUGCCAAGGCUCAUCUGCCAAUACCUCCUUUAAACUGGAUUAUCUACCUUGGCAUUCUAAAUAAUAUUCCUCUAUGACAUCGCCUUCACUCUACACUGCCAUCUAAUCCAGUUCAGUCUACAUUUUAUACAACUAUGUACAACUGACCUCAUAUAAUCCAAUUC
Long non-coding RNA from Anolis carolinensis (green anole), 2221 nucleotides. RefSeq lists it as uncharacterized. The transcript is spliced from 2 exons. The record is from RefSeq and is a predicted model, not a curated record. NCBI's taxonomy places the organism in Eukaryota, Metazoa, Chordata, Lepidosauria, Squamata, Anolidae.